UGGGAAUUUGUGUAAGGGUAGCACGACAGACUCUGACUCUGUUUGUGAGGGUUCGAAUCCUUCAUUCCCAGCCA
RNAcentral lists this transfer RNA (74 nucleotides) under Clostridiales bacterium. RNAcentral describes it as "tRNA-Gln". It matches the Rfam family "tRNA". From Rfam's summary of the family: Transfer RNA (tRNA) molecules are approximately 80 nucleotides in length. Their secondary structure includes four short double-helical elements and three loops (D, anti-codon, and T loops). The record is from RNAcentral. Lineage: Bacteria; Bacillati; Bacillota; Clostridia; Eubacteriales.